AUUGAACGCUGGCGGCAGGCCUAACACAUGCAAGUCGAGCGAGAAAGCCUUCGGGUGAGUACAGCGGCGGACGGGUGAGUAACGCGUGGGAAUCUACCAAGUAGUGGGGGACAACAGUUGGAAACGACUGCUAAUACCGCAUACACCCUAAGGGGAAAAGCAGGGGAUCUUCGGACCUUGCGCUAUUUGAUGAGCCCGCGUUAGAUUAGCUAGAUGGUGGGGUAAAGGCCUACCAUGG
RNAcentral lists this ribosomal RNA (238 nucleotides) under uncultured Eionea sp. Its description in RNAcentral is "partial 16S ribosomal RNA". It matches the Rfam family "Bacterial small subunit ribosomal RNA", at positions 30 to 273 of the family's 1533-position model. The record is from RNAcentral. Lineage: Bacteria; Pseudomonadati; Pseudomonadota; Gammaproteobacteria; Cellvibrionales; Cellvibrionaceae.